GGCCUGGUGGUGUAGCGGUAACACACUUCGCUAGAAAUGUUGCUCGGCAUUCUAAACAUUUUCAACAGGAGUUCCUUGCUCGAAUCAAGGCUGGGCCU
Mycena vulgaris is the source of this 98-nucleotide non-coding RNA. The record is from the annotation of a GenBank genome assembly. Lineage: Eukaryota; Fungi; Basidiomycota; Agaricomycetes; Agaricales; Mycenaceae.